Molecule: non-coding RNA, 100 nt
Organism: Phellopilus nigrolimitatus
Lineage: Eukaryota; Fungi; Basidiomycota; Agaricomycetes; Hymenochaetales; Hymenochaetaceae
Source: the annotation of a GenBank genome assembly
GCCCGUCUAGCUCAAUCGGAUAGCAGCGUCAGACUUUUAAAUUGGGCUAAAAUUCUGAAUUAAAAUCUGAAGGUUGCGGGUUCGACCCCCGCGGUGGGCU